AGGACAAACGCUGGCGGCGUGCGUAACACAUGCAAGUCGAACGAGGUAGCAAUACCUAGUGGCAGACGGGUGAGUAACGCGUGGUCAACCUACCGUUGAGUGGGGGAUAACUAGCCGAAAGGUUAGCUAAUACCGCAUACGAGUUUCGGGGGCAUCCCUGAUUCUUAAAAGGAGCAAUCCGCUCGAUGACGGGACCGCGUCCCAUUAGCUAGAUGGUGGGGUAACGGCCUACCAUGGCACCGAUGGGUAGCUGGUUUGAGAGAGCGACCAGCCACACUGGGACUGAGAAACGGCCCAGACUCCUACGGGAGGCAGCAGUGAGGAAUUUUCCGCAAUGGGCGAAAGCCUGACGGAGCGACGCCGCGUGUGGGAAGAAGGCCUUCGGGUCGUAAACCACUGUCGAAGGGGACGAUAAUGACGGUACCCUUGGAGGAGCCCCGGCUAACUACGCGCAGCAGCCGC
This 462-nucleotide ribosomal RNA is filed under the name uncultured bacterium. RNAcentral's name for it is "SSU rRNA". It matches the Rfam family "Bacterial small subunit ribosomal RNA", at positions 26 to 518 of the family's 1533-position model. The record is from RNAcentral.